This 1354-nucleotide ribosomal RNA is filed under the name Cornufer wolfi (Wolf's sticky-toed frog). RNAcentral's name for it is "partial 16S ribosomal RNA". It matches the Rfam family "Bacterial large subunit ribosomal RNA", at positions 389 to 2583 of the family's 2925-position model. Lineage: Eukaryota; Metazoa; Chordata; Amphibia; Anura; Ceratobatrachidae. The record is from RNAcentral.
CCAAACAUCUAGCUUACUCUCUAUUAUUACAUUUAACUUUAAAUAAAACAUUUUCGCUAUUUAGUAAGGGAGACUAAAAAAUUUAUAAACGCUUCAGAAUAAGUACCGUAAGGGAAUGAUGAAAUAAUAAUGAAAUACCUCCCCCGCCCAAUGUAGCAAAGUUUUCAACUUGUACCUUUUGCAUCAUGGUCAAGCCAGUUCAACUAAGCAAACUGCAACUUAAGCUUAACAUCCCGAAACUGGGUGAGCUAUUUAAAAAUAGUCGCCAGGACAAACCCAUCUCUGUUGCAAAAGAGUGAGAUAAUUUUUUAAUAGUAGCGAAAAGCUUACCGAACCCAGAGAUAGCUGGUUAUCCAAGAAAAGAAUUUAAGUUCAACCUUAAGCUUAUUAAUUCUUCAAAACAAAAUAUAAAACUUAAGAGCUAUUCAAAUAAGGUACAGCUUAUUUGAUACAGGUCACAACCUCACACAUAGGGUAAUAUAUUACGACCAAAAGUAGGCCUAAAAGCAGCCAAAAAUGCGUUAAAGCUUACCGACACCCAAUACCAAACAACUACACAAACCCUUAUUAACUAUUGGAUGACUCCAUAAUUUAUGGAAGCCACUAUGCUUGAACUAGUAACAAGAAUUUGACUUUCUCCUAAAUAUCUCUGUAAGCCGCAACAGACAAACUAACGGCAAUCAACGCCAAUAAAUCAACUACAACAACCCACUAGAGAAACUUAUAAAAUAUAGCGUUACCCUUACACAAGUAUAUUCCAGGAAAGAUUAAAAGAAAGAGAAGGAACUCGGCAAACUUCAGCCCCGCCUGUUUACCAAAAACAUCGCCUCUUGCUUAAAUAUAAGAGGUCCAGCCUGCCCAGUGAAUAUUAAACGGCCGCGGUACCCUAACCGUGCUAAGGUAGCACAAUCACUUGUCCUUUAAAUGGGGACUAGAAUGAAAGGCAUCACGAGGGCUGUACUGUCUCCUCUUUUUAAUCAGUGAAACUGACCUCCCCGUGAAAAGGCGGGAAUUAAAAUAUUAGACGAGAAGACCCCAUGGAGCUUUAGACACAAGUAAAUCUUAACCCCCCCCUCCCCCAAGUUUAUGAUUAUUACCUUAAGUCUUCGGUUGGGGCAACCAUGGAGUAAAAAUUAACCUCCACACGAACGGAUUAUUCCUCAUUCAAGAACUACUAAUCUAGAAAACAGAAUACUGACGCCAACUGAUCCGGAACCCGAUCAAUGAACCAAGUUACCCUGGGGAUAACAGCGCUAUCUACCUUUAGAGCCCCUAUCGACAGGUAGGUUUACGACCUCGAUGUUGGAUCAGGGUAUCCUAGUGGUGCAGCCGCUACAUAAGGUUCGUUUGUUCA